This 230-nucleotide ribosomal RNA is filed under the name uncultured bacterium. Its description in RNAcentral is "partial 16S ribosomal RNA". It matches the Rfam family "Bacterial small subunit ribosomal RNA", at positions 562 to 791 of the family's 1533-position model. The record is from RNAcentral.
AAAGCGUGCGCAGGCGGUUAUACAAGACAGGCGUGAAAUCCCCGGGCUUAACCUGGGAAUGGCGCCUGUGACUGUAUAGCUAGAGUGUGUCAGAGGGGGGUAGAAUUCCACGUGUAGCAGUGAAAUGCGUAGAUAUGUGGAGGAAUACCAAUGGCGAAGGCAGCCCCCUGGGAUAACACUGACGCUCAUGCACGAAAGCGUGGGGAGCAAACAGGAUUAGAUACCCCGGU